GCUGGUGACUCGGUUCGUGAUUCAGUGUGAAUCAUUUGAACAGCACUGAAUCGUUUGGAGCGGUUCCUCACUUCGUGAAACAGCAACGAGGAUCUUCAAAACAACAAGAGGAUGAACUGAACAUUUACCUACAAGCAGUUUAAAACAAUCCUAUAAAGGUAUCACGUCGUUUUUCACCGGCCAGGAAGAUCUGCAGAUGUCACCCCAAAGCUAAAAGUCCAUGAAGUUCCGCACUUCACUACGGCUUAAUCAAGAUUUCUGUAACAACCGGACCAAUUCUCGUCUACAGGCUGUUGAAAUUGUCAUAUAAACACAUCCAUCUCAUGAGCUGUCAUUAUUUCUACGCCAAGGACUGGUGAAAGAGUUUAGGAACCGAAGAUGGAUGUACUGGUCAAAGACUGGAGAGCUGAAUGUGGGUGAGGUCAACACUCUUACUCUCUGUGGGUUUAAGCGGGUUGUGUGAGUGACUAGCAGCAGCUCUAUAAAGGCUUGUGAGAAUCCACAGGAAACUGAGGAAACUGGAGUCUGAGGGACACUGGGAGA
Long non-coding RNA from Triplophysa dalaica, 543 nucleotides. RefSeq lists it as uncharacterized. Lineage: Eukaryota; Metazoa; Chordata; Actinopteri; Cypriniformes; Nemacheilidae. The transcript is spliced from 3 exons. The record is from RefSeq and is a predicted model, not a curated record.